This 1489-nucleotide ribosomal RNA is filed under the name Lactiplantibacillus pentosus. RNAcentral describes it as "bacterial SSU rRNA". It matches the Rfam family "Bacterial small subunit ribosomal RNA". The record is from RNAcentral. Lineage: Bacteria; Bacillati; Bacillota; Bacilli; Lactobacillales; Lactobacillaceae.
GACGAACGCUGGCGGCGUGCCUAAUACAUGCAAGUCGAACGAACUCUGGUAUUGAUUGGUGCUUGCAUCAUGAUUUACAUUUGAGUGAGUGGCGAACUGGUGAGUAACACGUGGGAAACCUGCCCAGAAGCGGGGGAUAACACCUGGAAACGGAUGCUAAUACCGCAUAACAACUUGGACCGCAUGGUCUGAGUUUGAAAGAUGGCUUCGGCUAUCACUUUUGGAUGCUGACGCGGCGUAUUAGCUAGAUGGUGGGGUAACGGCUCAUCAUGGCAAUGAUACGUAGCCGACCUGAGAGGGUAAUCGGCCACAUUGGGACUGAGACACGGCCCAAACUCCUACGGGAGGCAGCAGUAGGGAAUCUUCCACAAUGGACGAAAGUCUGAUGGAGCAACGCCGCGUGAGUGAAGAAGGGUUUCGGCUCGUAAAACUCUGUUGUUAAAGAAGAACAUAUCUGAGAGUAACUGUUCAGGUAUUGACGGUAUUUAACCAGAAAGCCACAGCUAACUACGUGCCAGCAGCCGCGGUAAUACGUAGGUGGCAAGCGUUGUCCGGAUUUAUUGGGCGUAAAGCGAGCGCAGGCGGUUUUUUAAGUCUGAUGUGAAAGCCUUCGGCUCAACCGAAGAAGUGCAUCGGAAACUGGGAAACUUGAGUGCAGAAGAGGACAGUGGAACUCCAUGUGUAGCGGUGAAAUGCGUAGAUAUAUGGAAGAACACCAGUGGCGAAGGCGGCUGUCUGGUCUGUAACUGACGCUGAGGCUCGAAAGUAUGGGUAGCAAACAGGAUUAGAUACCCUGGUAGUCCAUACCGUAAACGAUGAAUGCUAAGUGUUGGAGGGUUUCCGCCCUUCAGUGCUGCAGCUAACGCAUUAAGCAUUCCGCCUGGGGAGUACGGCCGCAAGGCUGAAACUCAAAGGAAUUGACGGGGGCCCGCACAAGCGGUGGAGCAUGUGGUUUAACUCGAAGCUACGCGAAGAACCUUACCAGGUCUUGACAUACUAUGCAAAUCUAAGAGAUUAGACGUUCCCUUCAGGGACAUGGAUACAGGUGGUGCAUGGUUGUCGUCAGCUCGUGUCGUGAGAUGUUGGGUUAAGUCCCGCAACGAGCGCAACCCUUAUUAUCAGUUGCCAGCAUUAAGUUGGGCACUCUGGUGAGACUGCCGGUGACAAACCGGAGGAAGGUGGGGAUGACGUCAAAUCAUCAUGCCCCUUAUGACCUGGGCUACACACGUGCUACAAUGGAUGGUACAACGAGUUGCGAACUCGCGAGAGUAAGCUAAUCUCUUAAAGCCAUUCUCAGUUCGGAUUGUAGGCUGCAACUCGCCUACAUGAAGUCGGAAUCGCUAGUAAUCGCGGAUCAGCAUGCCGCGGUGAAUACGUUCCCGGGCCUUGUACACACCGCCCGUCACACCAUGAGAGUUUGUAACACCCAAAGUCGGUGGGGUAACCUUUUAGGAACCAGCCGCCUAAGGUGGGACAGAUGAUUAGGGUG